UAACCACACACCAAUCCUGUCUGAUUAGGACACAGACCUCAUGAUCUCAUCUAAUCUGUGCAGGAGAAGAGAAUUGGGUGGACAGCAGGACCAUCUACGUGGGACACAGGGAGCCACCUCCGGGCGCAGAGGCCUACAUCCCACAGAGAUACCCAGACAACAGGAUCGUCUCGUCCAAGUACACAUUUUGGAACUUUAUACCCAAGAAUUUAUUUGAACAAUUCAGAAGAGUAGCCAACUUUUAUUUCCUUAUCAUAUUUCUGGUGCAGUUGAUUAUUGAUACACCCACAAGCCCAGUGACAAGCGGACUUCCACUCUUCUUUGUCAUUACUGUGACGGCUAUCAAACAGGGUUAUGAAGACUGGCUUCGACAUAAAGCGGACAAUGCCAUGAACCAGUGUCCUGUUCAUUUCAUUCAGCACGGCAAGCUC
RNAcentral lists this small RNA (431 nucleotides) under Pan troglodytes (chimpanzee). RNAcentral describes it as "processed transcript". Lineage: Eukaryota; Metazoa; Chordata; Mammalia; Primates; Hominidae. The record is from RNAcentral.